This is a long non-coding RNA of Ornithorhynchus anatinus (platypus), 133 nucleotides long. RefSeq lists it as uncharacterized. Lineage: Eukaryota; Metazoa; Chordata; Mammalia; Monotremata; Ornithorhynchidae. The record is from RefSeq and is a predicted model, not a curated record. The transcript has 3 exons.
CACACAGCUGACAGGUGGCGGAGCCAGGUGAGGAGACUGAGGCACAGGGAAAUGAAGUGACUUGUCCAAAGCCACACAGUUAACGAGUGGCGCAGCCAGAUGAGGGAACUGAGGCGCAGAGAAGUGAAGUGAC